UAUGGUGGCCCCUGGCCUGUGGGGGCCAAAGGGGGUGAGAACCAGGCUGAUGCCUGGAAGAGAGCACCCCCGGCACUGGGCUUGGACUUUGACCUCCUGCCAGACCCCUCCAAGGAGAUGACAGGUAAUGUGCAUGAUGAACCGCAUACACCCAUCACUGGCCUCUCUGCUCAUUUAUCCAUUCAACGGAUCUCAGGCAGACAGGAAGAACCUUCCAUGGGUGUGGAAGACACACACACAACAGACCAAACACACAGAGCCUGACCAGAAGAAAGUGUGAGAAAGCCUGCCCACCUCCGGUCUUUUCUCUCAUUUUGCAUCUAAGAGGAUUUCAAGAAAAAAAUGAAAGACCGUCCUGACCACUCUGUUGGACAGCACUGUUGAUGACUGGUGGUUUCUAAAAGAAGAAAAUAGACUGUUUUUGAGCAUUACAGAAAAAAGGAAGAUUUGUUUCUCAGAAGUGUUUUAAUAGAAAGGUAAUUUAAGUUCACCAUUUUUAGAAAGUAGAGAAAAUGAAUCAUCCAUCGACUCUACUUACCAGUUUAGCAUUUUUGGCGGUGUUUUCUUGAAGUGUUUUUGCAAUGCACCUGUCAUAUUUUAAAUGGCUGCAGUCCCAGGGAAAAUACACUAUUAUGGUCAUUUAUGUCACAGCAUAUACAGUUUCAGUAUUGCUGCGGGGCCAGGAAACAUCCAUUUGGAGGAAUUAUACCCCUGCUUCCUCAGAAAGAGCACACAGUCAGAACUGGAAGUUACCAAACUAAAGGACACGCUGCUGAAGGAGGGAGCUCCUCUCCCUCCUUCCCUCCAGGAAGAGAGCUUUGAGUGGGUCACGUGGGGCUAGGCUGCCUUGGCACCUCCGUGAUCUGCGCAAGUUUGCAAAUGAGAACCAAAGCUUCUGAGGCUGCAACCGAAACACCUUUUGCUAAAGCUGCUGGUGCCAAGUAUAAUCGGGGAAUUAUAGCUUUUACUGAAUCAAUGUCUACUUGUCAACACAUGCCUGACAUUGGGUUGAGAAUAAUUCAAACUCAUCUUUUCAUUCUGUCUACUUGCACUAGAUAUGGUUGUCAUAAAU
Manis javanica (Malayan pangolin) is the source of this 1072-nucleotide long non-coding RNA. RefSeq lists it as uncharacterized. The record is from RefSeq and is a predicted model, not a curated record. NCBI's taxonomy places the organism in Eukaryota, Metazoa, Chordata, Mammalia, Pholidota, Manidae.